UGGGGAAUGAUUGCACAAUGGGCGAAAGCCUGAUGCAGCAACGCCGCGUGAGUGAUGAAGGCCUUCGGGUUGUAAAGCUCUGUCUUUUGGGACGAUAAUGACGGUACCAAAGGAGGAAGCCACGGCUAACUACGUGCCAGCAGCCGCGGUAAUACGUAGGUGGCAAGCGUUGUCCGGAUUUACUGGGCGUAAAGGAUGCGUAGGCGGAUUUUUAAGUGAGAUGUGAAAACCCUAAGCUUAACUUGGGGACUGCAUUUCAUACUGGAAAUCUAGAGUGCGGGAGAGGAGAAUGGAAUUCCUAGUGUAGCGGUGAAAUGCGUAGAGAUUAGGAAGAACACCAGUGGCGAAGGCGAUUCUCUGGACCGUAACUGACGCUGAGGCAUGAAAGCGUGGGUAGCAAACAGGAUUAGAUACCCUGGUAGUCCACGCCGUAAACGAUGAGUACUAGGUGUAGGAGGUAUCGACCCCUUCUGUGCCGCAGUUAACACAAUAAGUACUCCGCCUGGGAAGUACGAUCGCAAGAUUAAAACUCAAAUGAAUUGACGGGGGUCAUAGCUG
Molecule: ribosomal RNA, 558 nt
Filed under: uncultured bacterium
Lineage: Bacteria
Description: partial 16S ribosomal RNA
Rfam family: Bacterial small subunit ribosomal RNA
Source: RNAcentral